Odocoileus virginianus texanus is the source of this 1539-nucleotide non-coding RNA. NCBI's taxonomy places the organism in Eukaryota, Metazoa, Chordata, Mammalia, Artiodactyla, Cervidae. The record is from RefSeq and is a predicted model, not a curated record.
CACUCAGCUUUCUUUAUAGUCCAAAUCUCACAUCCAUACAUGACCACUGGAAAUACACUACAUGUGUUAGUGUUGUAUAAGCUGUUAGUUUUCAGGAAUUAUUGGGAAACCUCUAAUUAUAACCAUUUGCUAUUAGGGAAUAUGUGGUUUGGUAAAUAAGAGAUAUUUCUUAUUUUAGGAAGUUAUAAUAAGGAAAUAUGGGGCGAGAUUAGGUGCUAAAAUCAGCACUUUGCAAAUUCUUGUUGAAUUAAUGAAUAAAGGAAGAAAGAAAUGAUUGUCAAAUUAUUUCCCAAAUCUCAGUAAGGAUUCUCUAGCCAGAGUGAACUUAAAUCUAAUUCAAAUCAUCUUAUGAUACGUUGAAAAAGUACUCAGUGCUUUCCAUUUCAUUGCUUAAAAACUCACCUUUUAUCCAUGCAUUCCCCACCCUGUGUGAUUUGUCCUUUGCCACUUUUCCCUGUUGUCUUAUGUCAUUCUUCCUCCUUGAGUGUUUCGACACAUCCAACUUUUUGCUAAUUCAAGAAUUUUUCAUACCUUGUUCUGCUGGGGACUGGCUCCUUCUUAAUCUGGCCCUUUCACUUAAUGGCCCUGUGACUCUGUCUCUUUUCGGUUCGAAUUCUGCUCCCCUGCCUCCUAGUUCUGUGACCAUGAACAAAUCACUCAGUCUCUCUAUGCCUCAGGUUUGUCCAUCUAUCAAAGUUAGCAGUAGCAUCUUCCUCAAAGGAGUGCAUAAGGAAUGCAUACAGAUUAAUGAAAAACGUGCUGAGAAUGCUGCCUGCCACACACUAAAAACUUGAGACUGUACUGGCAUCUCUGAGCAAAAUUCUGCUGAAGAACCUACGCCCUGGUAUGGGACAUGUGUUAUCUGCCUGGGGAGCUGUCUUACUCAUCUGAAAGAAAACUGACGUUUUUGCUGAAUGUAGCCAGCUCUCAUUCUGAAGUUUGAUUCCAUGUAGAGCAAGUUAGUUGGCUUCUAUCAUGGUGACUCAAGGCUGCUAAGAGGAUACAAAUAGAGACUUCUAGUCCUUAAAGCUUAAACCCAGAACAUUCUCAAAAACAUUGUUGUGUUCAUGUACAUAUUCAACAUUGAAUGGGACUCCACAAGGGCAUGGAUGUGAUGAAAAGUGCUGGGAUCAACUUUGAAGAGUAGUUAUCAUGAAAAUGGAAACCACUUUUAAAGGAAUCCAUGGAUGGUUUUCAAGAAAAAUACCAACUGCUUAAAAUAUGUAAUUUUUCAACCUAUGCUGUCCACAUUUUCUAGAAAAGAAGGAGGUGAUACAAUCAGAUUUUCAAAGAAGUUCUGCAAAUCUCAAAGGGCUCCAUUUUCAUCAAGAACUUUAUUGGACAAUGUGUUCACCGUUCUGCUCCAUUACCUCUGCCACUCUGCAGGCAACUUCAUAACUCCGUCUUCCCAAAACUUCUUUUAUAAUCUUUCAUGGACUUGAGUGUUUUCUUAUUAAGAGAAUUAUGUAAAGACCAAAAUAAAUGAAAAUCCAAGGGUGCAAUAUCUGGUAAAUAAAGCAAAUGAGUCAGAACUUCUCA